UGUUAGACACAAGAUGAAUUGAAAGGAAUACAAUCCAGCCUUGGCGAAUGGAUUGCUGACUGUGGUGUUCCUGGAAUAUACAGUGCAAAACCUAAAGAUAUGAGACGGAUAUAUGGGCAGGUGAUAAAACACUACAUGUACCUCAGAACAGCAGACAUGAUUAAUCAGUUUAAGGAUGGCAUGAACUCUUGUGGCAACUUAUGGAAAGUUGUUGAAAGAAACUGGAAGGCUUUCCUUCCAGUGUUUACCAAUCAGCAGAAGCCACUCUCCAGAGAGGAUUUCAGAGCUCUCUUUACAAUAUCCUGGAGUGAGGAGGGAAGCAACCUUAAAGAUAAAGAGGAAGAUACAAUCUUCUGCUGGGAGCUAUUACUGAAUAAAAUUCAGG
Non-coding RNA from Misgurnus anguillicaudatus (oriental weatherfish), 385 nucleotides. NCBI's taxonomy places the organism in Eukaryota, Metazoa, Chordata, Actinopteri, Cypriniformes, Cobitidae. The record is from RefSeq and is a predicted model, not a curated record.